UACGAAGGGGGCUAGCGUUGCUCGGAAUCACUGGGCGUAAAGCGCACGUAGGCGGAUUGCUAAGUCAGGGGUGAAAUCCUGGAGCUCAACUCCAGAACUGCCUUUGAUACUGGCGAUCUUGAGUCCGGGAGAGGUGAGUGGAACUCCGAGUGUAGAGGUGAAAUUCGUAGAUAUUCGGAAGAACACCAGUGGCGAAGGCGGCCCACUGGCCCGGUACUGACGCUGAGGUGCGAAAGCGUGGGGAGCAAACAGG
Molecule: ribosomal RNA, 253 nt
Filed under: uncultured bacterium
Lineage: Bacteria
Description: partial 16S ribosomal RNA
Rfam family: Bacterial small subunit ribosomal RNA
Source: RNAcentral